GAUGAACGCUAGCGACAGGCCUAACACAUGCAAGUCGAGGGGCAGCACAAGGUAGCAAUACUGAGGUGGCGACCGGCGCACGGGUGAGUAACGCGUAUGCAACCUGCCUGUAACAGGGGGAUAGCCUCUUGAAAGAGAGAUUAAUACCGCAUAAUACAGUUGAACGGCAUCGUUCGACUUUUAAACAUUUAUGGGUUACAGAUGGGCAUGCGUUUCAUUAGGUAGUUGGUGAGGUAAUGGCUCACCAAGCCGACGAUGAAUAGGGGUUCUGAGAGGAAGGUCCCCCACACUGGUACUGAGACACGGACCAGACUCCUACGGGAGGCAGCAGUGAGGAAUAUUGGUCAAUGGACGCAAGUCUGAACCAGCCAAGUCGCGUGAAGGAUGAAGGUAUUAUGUAUUGUAAACUUCUUUUGUCAGGGAAUAAUGACCGCUACGUGUAGCGGAGAGGAAUGUACCUGACGAAUAAGCAUCGGCUAACUCCGUGCCAGCAGCCGCGGUAAUACGGAGGAUGCGAGCGUUAUCCGGAUUUAUUGGGUUUAAAGGGUGCGUAGGCGGUUUGUUAAGUCAGUGGUGAAAGUUUGCGGCUCAACCGUAAAAUUGCCAUUGAAACUGGCGAACUUGAGUACAGUAGAGGUAGGCGGA
This 645-nucleotide ribosomal RNA is filed under the name uncultured prokaryote. RNAcentral describes it as "bacterial SSU rRNA". It matches the Rfam family "Bacterial small subunit ribosomal RNA", at positions 28 to 665 of the family's 1533-position model. The record is from RNAcentral.